UCCUGGUGAAAUGAGGUUGGGAGCAGAACCAAGCAAGCGGCAAGGUGUAAAUUGUUAGGCAUUCAACACUCAAGAAAUUAAAAGGGAGCCUAGAACAUCUAACCAUGGUUCAGCCCCCGAUCUGACAAGGAAACUGAGUGAGUGAUCCCAUGCUACAUGCAGACAGUGGUUAAGUGAUUGUAUUCACAGCUAUGUAAAGGAUCUGCUUGGCCAGGCUUCUGUCAAAUAUCGCUCUUCCUCCUUGGUAACAUCAACAAAAUGGGGCAGGCUGAGCAGGUCCAUGAGGUCCAUGCCAAUUCAGAGACAAGAGGAGGAGUCAAGUCACCGUACUGGAAAAUGUGAAAAUUGUGGUCUUUUAUUUCAAUCAAACAAUGAAUUUUCCAGGACGACAACAACAACAACAAAUCCCUUUACGUACCUCUCACAAAGCCAAUGCACAGCCACCUUUGUGUAACCUAACUCGCAAAACAGUAGUGAUUCGUUGGCAAAUUCCUGCAAGGAUUUCAACAGCCAUCAACCAAGUUGUUGCAUUUCUCACCUUCCCUCUUCAAAGUGGGCUUUGAUUAAACAACAUUACCAUAAAUGCCCUUCUGGGUAGGAAUUCUGGGUAGGAAUUUCCAAAUCUACUUAAAUAUAAAUUGGGGAUUAAUUUAAUAAUUGUCUUUGGUGCUGAGAAGGAAUGGCAAGGAAAGGACCACAGAGAGUGAAAUGUGUAAAUACAAUUCGAAAAGGAAACCAACCUGUUUUGGGUCCUUUUACAAGUUUAAGCCAAGCACAUAAUGCCAAGUAACCUAACCCUUGUUAAUAAAAAUAUAUCAAAGCAAACAAGACAGAGUGAACCAUGGCCAGAGGGUAAAUAAAAGGCAGACACGAAUUUUCUGAAGUCUUGAACAGAGUGCAGUUCUGUACUGCUGCCUAAACUGCUUGCCUCCUGUACUUCUCCUGGCUGCUCUUUAAAAUCAACUUCAAAAAUUUCAGUAUGGCUUGCAAUGGUCUUGAGAUGGGAUUGGACUGUGCUCUUUCCAAUUAGAGUUAUUGCUUGAGCUGAUUGGUUGUUAUUCUGCUUCCUGCCCUUCCCAUCCAUUCAGGGAAGGCCAACCUCAUUGGCUCCCUUCUUGCUUUCCCACCACCUCUCCAGAGUGCCACAAAGCUUUUCCUAGUGCCCCCCCCCUGUCUUUUUGGGGACAAUUCUCUUUUCAGUAAUCCUGAUGCCUUUUAGCACAGAACAGAACAGAAUAACAGAGUUGGAAGGGACCUUGAAGUUCUGCUAGUCUAACCCCAUGCACAAACAGGAGGCUCUACCAGGGGUAGGCAACCUUGGCUCUUUUAUGACUCGUGGACUUCAACUCCCAGAAUUCCUGAGCCAGCCAUGCUGAGGGAAAAGGAAGAGGUUUCCAAGC
Molecule: long non-coding RNA, 1400 nt
Organism: Crotalus tigris (Tiger rattlesnake)
Lineage: Eukaryota; Metazoa; Chordata; Lepidosauria; Squamata; Viperidae
Exons: 3
Source: RefSeq, a predicted model, not a curated record